GUGAAGUCGUAACAAGGUAACCGUAGGGGAACCUGCGGUUGGAUCACCUCCUUACUUUAAAGAAGC
RNAcentral lists this ribosomal RNA (66 nucleotides) under Shigella dysenteriae. RNAcentral describes it as "partial 16S ribosomal RNA". The stretch from base 1 to 54 matches the Rfam family "Bacterial small subunit ribosomal RNA", at positions 1480 to 1533 of the family's 1533-position model. The record is from RNAcentral. Lineage: Bacteria; Pseudomonadati; Pseudomonadota; Gammaproteobacteria; Enterobacterales; Enterobacteriaceae.